GGAUUGCCCUAGUAACGGCGAGUGAAGCGGCAACAGCUCAAAUUUGAAAUCUGGCUUUCGGGCCCGAGUUGUAAUUUGUAGAGGAUACUUUUGAUGCGGUGCCUUCCGAGUUCCCUGGAACGGGACGCCAUAGAGGGUGAGAGCCCCGUCUGGUUGGAUGCCAAAUCUCUGUAAAGUUCCUUCGACGAGUCGAGUAGUUUGGGAAUGCUGCUCUAAAUGGGAGGUAUAUGUCUUCUAAAGCUAAAUAUUGGCCAGAGACCGAUAGCGCACAAGUAGAGUGAUCGAAAGAUGAAAAGCACUUUGAAAAGAGAGUUAAAAAGUACGUGAAAUUGUUGAAAGGGAAGCGUUUAUGACCAGACUUGGACUUGGUUAAUCAUCUGGGGUUCUCCCCAGUGCACUUUUCCAGUUCAGGCCAGCAUCAGUUUUCGCCGGGGGAUAAAGGCUUCGGGAAUGUAGCUCUCUUCGGGGAGUGUUAUAGCCCGUUGUGUAAUACCCUGGCGGAGACUGAGGUUCGCGCUUCUGCAAGGAUGCUGGCGUAAUGGUCAUCAACGACCC
This 555-nucleotide ribosomal RNA is filed under the name Fusarium sp. RNAcentral describes it as "LSU rRNA". It matches the Rfam family "Eukaryotic large subunit ribosomal RNA", at positions 72 to 650 of the family's 3401-position model. The record is from RNAcentral. Lineage: Eukaryota; Fungi; Ascomycota; Sordariomycetes; Hypocreales; Nectriaceae.